GCUGCUUCGGUUCGAUCGGGAUACUCAUCAAAUAAUUUUCGAAAACCGGGGAAGUUUCCUCUGCCGAUGGCGGGCCACAUAAAGCCGUCAGGCCUAAGCUGCAAAGCCGGUGGAUUACAAAGACGGGGAGCACUCAAAUCAUUCUAUUCUCGGAGUUUCAUCACAUCGCCGCGGCAGCCCC
This 181-nucleotide small RNA is filed under the name uncultured Prevotella sp. RNAcentral's name for it is "Bacteroidales-1 6S-Bacteroidales RNA suggested". It matches the Rfam family "Bacteroidales-1 6S-Bacteroidales RNA suggested". The record is from RNAcentral. Lineage: Bacteria; Pseudomonadati; Bacteroidota; Bacteroidia; Bacteroidales; Prevotellaceae.